AAGAAGUCAGGCCGGAUUAAGCCAUAGUACGGUAAGAGCUAUGCUGCCUGUGAGCCCCGUCUAAGGACGUAAAAUGAAGUCAGGCCGAAAGCCACGGCUUGAGCAAACCGUGCUGCCUGUAGCUCCAUCGUGGGGAUGUAAAAACCUGGGAGGCUGCAACCCAUGGAAGCUGUACGCAUGGGGUAGCAGACUAGUGGUUAGAGGAGACCCCUCCCGAAACAUAACGCAGCAGCGGGGCCCAACACCAGGGGAAGCUGUACCCUGGUGGUAAGGACUAGAGGUUAGAGG
Molecule: long non-coding RNA, 288 nt
Filed under: dengue virus type 1
Lineage: Riboviria; Orthornavirae; Kitrinoviricota; Flasuviricetes; Amarillovirales; Flaviviridae
Description: Dengue virus 1 partial sfRNA1
Rfam family: Flavivirus DB element (bases 149-220)
Source: RNAcentral